GACGAACGCUGGCGGCGUGCUUAACACAUGCAAGUCGAACGGAAAGGCCCUGCUUUUGUGGGGUGCUCGAUUGGCGAACGGGUGAGUAACACGUGAGUAUCCCGUCCCUGACUGUGGGAUAACUUUAGGAAACUGGGGCUAAUAUCGGAUAGGAUCUCCUGCUCCGUGGUGGGGGUUGGAAAGUUUCGGCCGUUGGGGAUGGACUCGCGGCUUACGAGCUUGUUUGGGGAGUAGUGGCGUACCAAGCGUGUGACGGGUAGGCGGCAUGGGAGCGUUAACGGCCACAAUGGGCCUACGGUAGGGACCAGAAUCGAACCGGAGGCAGCAGUCGAGAGUAUUACACAGCAGGGGCGAGCCUGAUGCAGCGGCGCCGCGUGCGGAAUGACGGCCUUCGGGUUAUGAACCGCUUUCGCCUUUGACGAGGCGUGAGUGACGGUAAUGAGUAAAAAAGCACCGGCUAACUACGUG
Molecule: ribosomal RNA, 468 nt
Filed under: uncultured bacterium
Lineage: Bacteria
Description: partial 16S ribosomal RNA
Rfam family: Bacterial small subunit ribosomal RNA
Source: RNAcentral